This 485-nucleotide ribosomal RNA is filed under the name uncultured bacterium. RNAcentral describes it as "partial 16S ribosomal RNA". It matches the Rfam family "Bacterial small subunit ribosomal RNA", at positions 30 to 507 of the family's 1533-position model. The record is from RNAcentral.
UUGAACGCUGGCGGCAUGCCUUACACAUGCAAGUCGCACGGCAGCACGGGUGCUUGCACCUGGUGGCGAGUGGCGAACGGGUGAGUAAUACAUCGGAACAUGUCCUAUAGUGGGGGAUAGCCCGGCGAAAGCCGGAUUAAUACCGCAUACGAUCUACGGAUGAAAGCGGGGGACCUUCGGGCCUCGCGCUAUAGGGUUGGCCGAUGGCUGAUUAGCUAGUUGGUGGGGUAAAGGCCUACCAAGGCGACGAUCAGUAGAUGGUCUGAGAGGACGACCAGCCACACUGGGACUGAGACACGGCCCAGACUCCUACGGGAGGCAGCAGUGGGGAAUUUUGGACAAUGGGCGAAAGCCUGAUCCAGCAAUGCCGCGUGUGUGAAGAAGGCCUUCGGGUUGUAAAGCACUUUUGUCCGGAAAGAAAUCCUUGGCUCUAAUACAGUCGGGGGAUGACGGUACCGGAAGAAUAAGCACCGGCUAACUACGUG